Long non-coding RNA from Toxorhynchites rutilus septentrionalis, 473 nucleotides. RefSeq lists it as uncharacterized. Lineage: Eukaryota; Metazoa; Arthropoda; Insecta; Diptera; Culicidae. The record is from RefSeq and is a predicted model, not a curated record. The transcript has 3 exons.
ACGAAUAAGGCGAAUCGCCAUCACUGCGGCAUAUGCAGCUGUCAAAACUCAACACAACAGUUGGUAAACAGAGAAACGAGUGUCGUAAGCAUUGAAAAUUACUUUCAUUUUCUAUUUAAAUUUGAUUUAAUUUAUUUCAAAUUUGCUUAAUCAAAGUACCGAACGGCAUAGUAGACGAAUUGGACAGGUUAAUUUCGCAUUACCUUCUAUCUCCCCAGGAUCAGGGGGCAUCAUAGUAAAUACAGUUUAUUUCUAAAAUCGCCAUCAGUCACCUGAACAUUAGCGGAAGUUACAGAUAAUACAUGACUUAAAACCGUACUAAAGGAAAGAAAUAUCAGUGUAUAUAGUGUAUUAACAUAUUAUAUUACACAUACUCUUAACAAGAAUGAUUGAUAAUUGUACAAAUUGUUAUAGUUUUUUUUGUAAUUUAAGUUAAAAAUAGCUUUUUCUAGGAACAAAAUGCUUCAUUUUUA